CGCCUUUGUUUACAAAAACAUGUCUUUUUGAUUAUAAUUUAAGGUCUGACCUGCUCACUGAAUUAUUUUAAAGAGCCGCGGUAUUAUGACCGUGCAAAGGUAGCAUAAUCAUUAGUCUUUUAAUUUGAGGCUGGAAUGAAUGGUUUGACGAGGGGGGGACUGUCUCAAUUUUAAUUAAUAAAAUUUAACUUUUAAGUUAAAAGGCUUAAAUUUGAUUUUAGGACGAAAAGACCCUAUAGAACUUUAUAUAUUAUUUAUAACUGAUUUGCUGUUAUUUUAUUUCAUUUUAUUAAGAUUAUAUUUUGUUGGGGUGACAUGAAGAAUAAUUAAAACUCUUUAUUUUUAGUAUCAUUUAUUUAUGAUUGUUUGAUCCAUAAUUUGUGAUUAUAAGAUUAAGUUACCUUAGGGAUAACAGCGUAAUUGUCUUUUAGAGUUCUUAUCAACAAGACUGAUUGCGACCUCGAUGUUGGAUUAAGAUUAGUACUAGGUGUAUCAGUUUAGUAACUAGGUCUGUUCGGCCUUUGAAUA
This 528-nucleotide ribosomal RNA is filed under the name Atractomorpha sinensis. Its description in RNAcentral is "partial 16S ribosomal RNA". It matches the Rfam family "Bacterial large subunit ribosomal RNA", at positions 1797 to 2598 of the family's 2925-position model. The record is from RNAcentral. Lineage: Eukaryota; Metazoa; Arthropoda; Insecta; Orthoptera; Pyrgomorphidae.